Long non-coding RNA from Monomorium pharaonis (pharaoh ant), 756 nucleotides. RefSeq lists it as uncharacterized. The record is from RefSeq and is a predicted model, not a curated record. The transcript has 3 exons. NCBI's taxonomy places the organism in Eukaryota, Metazoa, Arthropoda, Insecta, Hymenoptera, Formicidae.
AACACCCAGUCAAUGUGCUAGUAAUAUAUUAACGCUAGUUUUCAGUAUUGAAGAAUUAACGACUAGCACAAAAACUGGAUAUGAAGUAAUAAGAAACUAAGUAAAUUACGUGACUUAAAUAAAGAAACGAAGAGAUUGGGUAAAUUAAAAUGCCCAAAAUUGGACGAAAUAAAAUACGGUGCUUGUGAAGAUUAUUAUAUAUAUUGGAUGAAACAUAUUUAUAAACCAAAUAAAGAAGGAAAAACAUUGUUUUUGUCAGAUAUGUUGAAAUUUGAUAUUUUUGCGGGAAGAAAAAUUGCAGAAAUGAAAACCAGAGAGAAAAACAUCAAAAUUAAAAUCACGAAAACUUGUGGAAACUGAAUCAGAUGAUGAAAAAACUCGAAUGAAAAGCAUUCUGAUUCUGAUAAUGAAGUAAUUUGUGAAGCUGAAAUUAAUCAGUAUAAAAUACAUUCCGCUAAUAAGACUGAAAAACCCUCAACGGAAUUGAAACAAAUGACAAACCAAAUGAAUAUGAUACUAGAAAGGAGUAAAUAAAACUACUAAGGAGACUACUAAGGAGACUACUAAGGAGACUACUUCUACUAAUGAGACAGAUGAUGCAAUAAGUGAUACCAAUUUGAUUGGACUCCAACUAAUUCAUCGGCUUCAGAUGUUGAGGACAUCUGAAUCAAGUCUUAGAGAGAAUAGUUUAGAUGACGUUUUAAGUUUAACAAAUACUUUAAAUUUGUUACUGAAUAAAAGUUUUUUAUCAGUGUU